RNAcentral lists this ribosomal RNA (254 nucleotides) under uncultured bacterium. RNAcentral describes it as "partial 16S ribosomal RNA". It matches the Rfam family "Bacterial small subunit ribosomal RNA", at positions 524 to 776 of the family's 1533-position model. The record is from RNAcentral.
UACGAAGGUGGCAAGCGUUAUUCGGAAUCACUGGGCGUAAAGCGCACGUAGGCGGAUCUUUAAGUCGGGGGUGAAAUCCUGGAGCUCAACUCCAGAACUGCCUCCGAUACUGAGGAUCUUGGAGUCCGGGAGAGGUGAGUGGAACUCCGAGUGUAGAGGUGAAAUUCGUAGAUAUUCGGAAGAACACCAGUGGCGAAGGCGGCUCACUGGCCCGGUACUGACGCUGAGGUGCGAAAGCGUGGGGAGCAAACAGG